This 90-nucleotide transfer RNA is filed under the name Oligoflexia bacterium. Its description in RNAcentral is "tRNA-Ser". It matches the Rfam family "tRNA". From Rfam's summary of the family: Transfer RNA (tRNA) molecules are approximately 80 nucleotides in length. Lineage: Bacteria; Pseudomonadati; Bdellovibrionota; Oligoflexia. The record is from RNAcentral.
GGAGAAUUGGCCGAGUGGUUUAAGGCGCACGCUUGGAAAGCGUGUGUAGGUGAAAGCCUACCGUGGGUUCGAAUCCCAUGUUCUCCGCCA